UAGAUGUGUUGCUGGAGCAUGCUGCUGGU
RNAcentral lists this non-coding RNA (29 nucleotides) under Rattus norvegicus (Norway rat). The record is from RNAcentral. Lineage: Eukaryota; Metazoa; Chordata; Mammalia; Rodentia; Muridae.